RNAcentral lists this ribosomal RNA (497 nucleotides) under uncultured bacterium. Its description in RNAcentral is "partial 16S ribosomal RNA". It matches the Rfam family "Bacterial small subunit ribosomal RNA", at positions 28 to 507 of the family's 1533-position model. The record is from RNAcentral.
GACGAACGCUGGCGGCGUGCCUAAUACAUGCCAGUAGAACGCUGAAGAGAGGAGCUUGCUCUUCUUGGAUGAGUUGCGAACGGGUGAGUAACGCGUAGGUAACCUGCCUUGUAGCGGGGGAUAACUAUUGGAAACGAUAGCUAAUACCGCAUAACAAUGGAUGACACAUGUCAUUUAUUUGAAAGGGGCAAUUGCUCCACUACAAGAUGGACCUGCGUUGUAUUAGCUAGUAGGUGAGGUAACGGCUCACCUAGGCGACGAUACAUAGCCGACCUGAGAGGGUGAUCGGCCACACUGGGACUGAGACACGGCCCAGACUCCUACGGGAGGCAGCAGUAGGGAAUCUUCGGCAAUGGGGGCAACCCUGACCGAGCAACGCCGCGUGAGUGAAGAAGGUUGUCGGAUCGUAAAGCUCUGUUGUAAGUCAAGAACGAGUGUGAGAGUGGAAAGUUCACACUGUGACGGUAGCUUACCAGAAAGGGACGGCUAACUACGUG